AACGCACCUUGCACCCUCUAGUAUUCUGGAGGGUAUGCCCGGUUGAGUGUCAUGAAUCUCUCAAACCCAUGGUUUCUUCACUUCUCAUCCCUGUCCCGGCGGCCGGUCUUGUCCGGCUCUCGGUCUGGGGUGAGUGAGGCCAUGGGUCUUGGUGUUGAGCGUUGCCGGCCCCCACGGGUCGGCCCGCUCCAAAUGCAUUAGCUGGAUCAUACCUUUGGUUCACUCUCGACGUGAUAAGUUUAGAUCGUCGUCCGUGCCUCUGUAUAACUCCGCUCCUAAUCGUCUUCGGACAAAUCAUAUGACUUUUACACCUCAACUCGGGUAGGACUACCCGCUGAACUUAA
RNAcentral lists this unclassified non-coding RNA (344 nucleotides) under uncultured fungus. RNAcentral's name for it is "partial contains 5.8S ribosomal RNA, internal transcribed spacer 2, and large subunit ribosomal RNA". Lineage: Eukaryota; Fungi. The record is from RNAcentral.